This 480-nucleotide ribosomal RNA is filed under the name Bacillus mojavensis. RNAcentral's name for it is "bacterial SSU rRNA". It matches the Rfam family "Bacterial small subunit ribosomal RNA", at positions 38 to 480 of the family's 1533-position model. The record is from RNAcentral. Lineage: Bacteria; Bacillati; Bacillota; Bacilli; Caryophanales; Bacillaceae.
UACCGGGCCAUAAACGCCUGGGCGCGCAUGCCUAAUACAUGCAAGUCAAGCGGACAGAUGGGAGCUUGCUCCCUGAUGUUAGCGGCGGACGGGUGAGUAACACGUGGGUAACCUGCCUGUAAGACUGGGAUAACUCCGGGAAACCGGGGCUAAUACCGGAUGCUUGUUUGAACCGCAUGGUUCAAACAUAAAAGGUGGCUUCGGCUACCACUUACAGAUGGACCCGCGGCGCAUUAGCUAGUUGGUGAGGUAACGGCUCACCAAGGCAACGAUGCGUAGCCGACCUGAGAGGGUGAUCGGCCACACUGGGACUGAAACACGGCCCAAACUCCUACGGGAGGCAGCAUUAGGGAAUCUUCCGCAAUGGACAAAAGUCUGACGGACCAACGCCGCGUGAGUGAUAAAGGUUUUCGUAUCGUAAAGCUCUGUUGUUAAGGAAGAACAAGAACCGUUCGAUAGGGCGGCACCUUGACCGUACCU